RNAcentral lists this ribosomal RNA (955 nucleotides) under uncultured archaeon. RNAcentral describes it as "bacterial SSU rRNA". It matches the Rfam family "Archaeal small subunit ribosomal RNA", at positions 474 to 1428 of the family's 1478-position model. The record is from RNAcentral.
CACCCGCAGCACAAGUGGUGGUCACUUUUAUUGAGCCUAAAGCGUUCGUAGCCGGUUUUGUAAAUCUCCAGAUAAAGACUGAAGCUUAACUCCAGAAAGUCUGAAGAGACUGCAAGACUUGAGAUCGGGUGAGGUUAAAUGUACUCUCAGGGUAGGGGUAAAAUCCUGUAAUCCUGGAAGGACGACCAGUGGUGAAAACGUUUAACUAGAACGAAUCUGACGGUAAGGAACGAAGGCUAGGGUAGCAAACCGGAUUAGAUACCCGGGUAGUCCUAGCUGUAAACUCUGCCCACUUGAUGUUGCUUUUCCGUUGAGGGAAGGCAGUGUCGUAGCGAAGGUGUUAAGUGGGUCGCUUGGGAAGUAUGGUCGCAAGACUGAAACUUAAAGGAAUUGGCGGGGGAGCACCGCAACGGGAGGAAUGUGCGGUUUAAUUGGAUUCAACGCCGGAAAACUCACCGGGAACGACCUGUGCAUGAGAGCCAACCUGACGAAUUUGCUCGAUAGCAGGARARGUGGUGCAUGGGCCGUCGUCCAGCUCGUACCGUAGGGCGUUCACUUAAGUGUGAUAACGAGCGAGACCCACAUCUCUAAUUGCAAAUGUAUAUGGGAAUAUGCAAGCACUUUAGAGAGACCGCCAGCGCUAAGCUGGAGGAAGGAGCGGUCGACGGCAGGUCAGUACGCCCCGAAUUUCCCGGGCUACACGCGCAUUACAAAGAACGGGACAAUACGUUGCAACCUCGAAAGGGGAAGCCAACCGCGAAACCCGUCCAUAGUUAGGAUUGAGGGCUGUAACUCGCCCUCAUGAAUCUGGAUUCCGUAGUAAUCGCGGGUCAACAACCCGCGGUGAACAUGCCCCUGCUCCUUGCACACACCGCCCGUCAAACCAUCCGAGUUGGUGUUGGAUGAGGUUUAGUUCUAGAGGGCUAAAUCAAAUCUGAUGUCGGUGAGGAGGGUU